GCCCGGAUAGCUCAGUCGGUAGAGCAUUG
This 29-nucleotide non-coding RNA is filed under the name Bombyx mori (domestic silkworm). RNAcentral also lists the same sequence under 8 other names. The record is from RNAcentral. Lineage: Eukaryota; Metazoa; Arthropoda; Insecta; Lepidoptera; Bombycidae.